This 322-nucleotide unclassified non-coding RNA is filed under the name uncultured fungus. RNAcentral's name for it is "partial contains 5.8S ribosomal RNA, internal transcribed spacer 2, and large subunit ribosomal RNA". The stretch from base 1 to 52 matches the Rfam family "5.8S ribosomal RNA", at positions 103 to 154 of the family's 154-position model. The record is from RNAcentral. Lineage: Eukaryota; Fungi.
AACGCAUAUUGCGCCUUCCGGUAUUCCGGGAGGCAUGCCUGUUUGAGCGUCAGUUUGUACUCAACAUCAGUGGAGCCUUUAUUGGACUUUGCUAAUGGUGGUAUUGAGUGUUAUGGGCACACGAUUCGUUGUGUACCCUCACUUGAAAUUGAUUGCCAUUUUUGAUGACAUAAGUGGAUGGUUAGUGUAUUAGGUUUAUCCAAUUCCGCUAGCUUUCACAACGUUUAUGACUUCCAAAUCGGCUUUUCAACCAAGUCAUUGCUACCAGCAAUGCCUUUUCUACGUUGACCUCAAAUCAGGUAAGGAUACCCGCUGAACUUAA